Molecule: ribosomal RNA, 490 nt
Filed under: uncultured bacterium
Lineage: Bacteria
Description: partial 16S ribosomal RNA
Rfam family: Bacterial small subunit ribosomal RNA
Source: RNAcentral
AUUGAACGCUGGCGGCAGGCCUAACACAUGCAAGUCGAACGGUAACAGGAAACAGCUUGCUGUUUCGCUGACGAGUGGCGGACGGGUGAGUAAUGUCUGGGAAACUGCCUGAUGGAGGGGGAUAACUACUGGAAACGGUAGCUAAUACCGCAUAACGUCGCAAGACCAAAGAGGGGGACCCUCGGGCCUCUUGCCAUCGGAUGUGCCCAGAUGGGAUUAGCUUGUUGGUGGGGUAACGGCUCACCAAGGCGACGAUCCCUAGCUGGUCUGAGAGGAUGACCAGCCACACUGGAACUGAGACACGGUCCAGACUCCUACGGGAGGCAGCAGCGGGGAAUAUUGCACAAUGGGCGCAAGCCUGAUGCAGCCAUGCCGCGUGUAUGAAGAAGGCCUUCGGGUUGUAAAGUACUUUCAGCGGGGAGGAAGGGAGUAAAGUUAAUACCUUUGCUCAUUGACGUUACCCGCAGAAGAAGCACCGGCUAACUCCGUG